AUUGAACGCUGGCGGCAGGCCUAACACGUGCAAGUCGAGCGGAUGAAGGGAGCUUGCUCCUGGAUUCAGCGGCGGACGGGUGAGUAAUGCCUAGGAAUCUGCCUGGUAGUGGGGGAUAACGUCCGGAAACGGGCGCUAAUACCGCAUACGUCCUGAGGGAGAAAGUGGGGGAUCUUCGGACCUCACGCUAUCAGAUGAGCCUAGGUCGGACUAGCUAGUUGGUGGGGUAAAGGCCUACCAAGGCGACGAUCCGUAACUGGUCUGAGAGGAUGAUCAGUCACACUGGAACUGAGACACGGUCCAGACUCCUACGGGAGGCAGCAGUGGGGAAUAUUGGACAAUGGGCGAAAGCCUGAUCCAGCCAUGCCGCGUGUGUGAAGAAGGUCUUCGGAUUGUAAAGCACUUUAAGUUGGGAGGAAGGGCAGUAAGUUAAUACCUUGCUGUUUUGACGUUACCAACAGAAUAAGCACCGGCUAACUUCGUG
RNAcentral lists this ribosomal RNA (484 nucleotides) under uncultured bacterium. RNAcentral's name for it is "partial 16S ribosomal RNA". It matches the Rfam family "Bacterial small subunit ribosomal RNA", at positions 30 to 507 of the family's 1533-position model. The record is from RNAcentral.